UUCUUUUUUUUGUUUGUAAGACGUACUAUGAUAUCUAUAGGGACCAGGAAAUGCAGAAGCCCAAUAUGGAACUCUGAAUCCUAACAAAGCCUUUACAAUGUUCAAAUGUAGCAUCAGAGUAUGCUUGGCUCGCAUACACCCACCAUAAGGUUUAACGUGCAUGAGUAAUUAUGUAGAAUACUUACCAUGAGAUGACUCAAUGUCUAAAAUGAGAUCGAGAGCAUAAUCAUAAUAAGGAACUUGGCUGCUGAGGCCACAAAGGUUGAAGUCGUCUUGUAUGUAGUCGUCGUCAACCUCGCAGAAGAAUUCGUUCCCUCUUAAAUUGCAAUACCAUGAAAUCCAUGAGGUGUCUUCUCCAUCAGAGCCACUAACAUCUGAUGCUUCACUAUCAGAAUCAGACUCCCCUGGAAUGUUAAGGAUGAAAGUAUCAAUGCAUGUGUUCUUAAGGAUUAUGAUGCGGAUACAACAAUAAAUACAACCAUCACAAACUCAAGCUAAACUGGUAGAAAAAGCAACAGCAAGCAGAACUUACAUAACUGACAAGAUCUACACUGUUACAACAGGAAUAAAUGCUAGGUAGAAAUGGUCUGUAUCACACAACACUAGAAAACAACUCAAAAAGCAUAAUCUACACAGUUCCUUUUGUCCCAACUUAUAUCAGUAAAGCUCUAAACAAACAAUAUGUUAAACCAAAAGUGUCUGAGUUGAAUCAAACCGAGCUUUGCGUCUUGAUUACAUCCACAAUUACAGAAAAUUUGCACAUCAAGAGCUCACCCGAAAAGCACAUGAAAACACUCGAAACCCGACAUUUGCUUAAAUCAAUACCCUGUCACCGAGAUCACAGUGCCAUUCCCACACGUUAAGGGCAAAAACUGAAAAAAAAAUACCAGCCACACCCACUCAAAUUUGAUUAUAAGCAACCAUGUGCAGACGCGUCAACAGAUCGCAACCCCAAUCCCUAAACCAAUCUCCUCCCGCACCCGCAUCCUACUUCACCAAAAAAACAACGCAGAUGCCACGGCCUCAUGAGCACACCAAACAGUCGCGCCGGAUUCGCGGCACGCCACGAGCCCACGCCGCGGCACCUGAAACAGAAAUGGGGAAAGGCGGGGGACGUCACCUUCGGAGCAGCGGCCCUUGGGCAUGGACGACGCGGAGGACGGCACGACGAGGCGGUGGUGGUCCCGCCCGCCGCCGCCGCCCGCCGACCCCCUCGACGUGGACGGCGACGCGACCGCCUUCUCGAGGUGCUUGUCGAGCGCGUCGCUGAUCCGCUUCCGGUCCAACCCCGCUCCCCCCUGCUUAUACAUCUCUCCCCUCUCUCUCCCCUCCCCACGCCGCGGUCUCCGUCUCCCUCCCUCUCUCUCUCUCUCACACGGGGCGAGCCAUUGGCACGACGCCGCGGGACGGGGCGAGGCGAGGGUAGGGUUAGGGUUUGCGCGCGGGGAGGAGGGGAGCACGAGCGCGAGGAGGACACGCUGCGAAUUUUGAGGGGAGGGGCGGGUGGGAAUGCAAAAAUGCUUGGGGUCGGAAUCAAAGCAGCUACUCAGCUGCUGGUGAUGAUGGGAAUGUCGUACAGCUCCAGAUAUUUUGUUGGAAAACAGGUGAUGCGAUCCGCCGUUGCAAUCCAAUCCGGCAUUGAUUUGCUGUAAUCUUUGUUUACUUGCCCGGACGCGCGUUUCUUUUCUUUAAUGCGGAUUAGAGUUUCGUGUGUACUUAAAGGGAAGUUCAUUGAUUGAUUAGGCAAAUUAAUUGGCUUGAUACACUAUAGCUUCGGUUGCUCGUGUUUAAUUAAUCAUCAUCAGGUUCAGCUGAGCUAAGUGGUGGGAUGAUGAUUAGCCAAGCAUCAACCUAAAUCAUUGGAGGAAAAAUAGUUUGGUUGUUUUUAAGGACUUUGGAGACUCGAGUGUCUUCUUCUUGAAACAAUUGGAUAGUUUUUUUUAUCGCACAUGUUAUUUUUUUAUAUGCUCUAAAUCUCAAAAAUAGAAAAGAAAAUACGCGCGGGUGAAUCACUAAAUCAUCAAGUGGAUAAUGAUUUAGACGGAUCAAGGACCCUGCUUACGCCGAUCUCAGUCUCGAAGAGAAGUCCAGCUUUAGAAUCUAUGGAAUAUCUGUUCUAAUCGUAUGGCUCAAAAUUUUCGGAGACAGGAGAAUGGUACAUGUGCGUUGAUACAAAAACUGAAAAAAAAAAGCAGCAGUCGCCUCCUUUUCCCUUUCGCAUGUGUGGAUUAGCAAGAAAAAGUCUCGUUUUCCUUUUAAAAGCUUACCACCAAGUUUAAGGUAAAGGCAAGUUGAAGAUAAUCAUAUGUUGCUUAUUCAGUAAUAACACUAAUAAUAAAAAUUCUGCCAGAACUAGGAUUUAAAAAUAUCCACUUCAAAUACGUAGAGUUCAGAUGCAACAUGAAACCAUAGUAAAGCUAUAUUUAUCUUUUAUUUUCUCUUUCCACUGCAAAUAUGAUAACUUGAUAAGCACUAUUCUUUUGGAACAUACCCCUAUUUUUCGCAUAUCUACGUUUGCCUUCAGCAUAUACCGCUACUCCUAUGUACCCGAUGCUUCAUGAAAUGGAAAAGAGAAGGCACCAAUCUUUGAAUUUAAAAAGUGUUUGUUUCUAGAACCACAACUAAAAUUCAUAGGAUUGGCCAUAAAAGAGAUUUCAGAAGUGCCAACAGCAUAUCCAACUUGUCAAGUACUCAAGUGCUGUCCACAACACGGUACAGGAAGUUUCACAAUUCAAAAUGUAUCGGCAGUCAUAAACAUCAAAAGUGCACAUUUGAAUUUCCACGCCAUUUGAUUCGGAGACUUCUCAGGUACAAUCUACAAUAAGAUCCUUUUUUCUCCUUCCUGUAACCUUCCUGUAACCAUCUCCUAGGGAAUUUCUUCAUAGCUGGCACAGCUCCACAUUUUGAUUUAUUGCUUUAUUGGUAUCCAUCGAGAAUGAUUUCUUUGAUCAUAUCAAUGGGUUCCUAUUGACAUCUUUGUACAGCAAGUAUCUGGUCCUGGUUUUACCAAGCGCGGCAUACCUGGAACAUCAUGGCAACAGCGGUAAGCUAACUGGAAAAAGAAAAAGCCAAGUGCAUGAAUGGCAAACACAAAGGUGGCAUACACGUACCACUGAGGAACAAACGGUGCCAUCCAAAUGGUAUCACCUGCUUGAACAGGGUACCUGUGUUAUCAACAGAAACAGUCUUCAGAAUAUAUUGAGAUUGGAUAUAAAAUGUGAAAGCAAUGGAGAUUGCGUGGAAUAUUAGAUUGAUUAAUUGAGAGAUAGAGGUUACAUAUAUAUAGGGGUGAGGAGAUCUUGAGGUUUAUUGAAACAGAACCAAUCAAGACCUCCUAUCUCUAACUAACCAUAUCUAGGGCCGGUCAGGCUUAAAGCCCACGGCACAGAUCCCAUACACACGUAUGACAUACAUACUGUCUAACAAAAUGUAAAGAAAAGUUAGAACGUCAAAACAAAAAGGAACAUGCGCAGUUUGUGCAUAUAAUUCCAUAACUCCUAGCAAAGCAUACACUCAAAAAUGUAAAGGGCAACAGAGAGAUGGUGGCGGAAAAAAAAACUAUAUUUGCAUGCAGGUAAUUCUGCAUAUGUUUAAUAAGGUAAAUGAGUAAUCUCUGUAGCACAUCUUAAGAAAUUUAUAUCAGCACAAAGCAUGUCAUCUUUCACGGGAAAAAAAAUAAAAGUUUCUAUAUGAAAUAUAGGCAGCUAUUCCAAGGUUGCACAAGGUUAGAAAGCUUAACAUGAGAAAAAUAACCUAAAAAAAGGACUUUCAGACUUCCUUACCAGCUAUCCCCCAAUCGGUAUAUUCCUUGCCCCUCUAGAAGCAGAAGCCCAUGUUGAUUAUAGUGAACCUCCUGGUAGAAAAAAAAUUAAAAAAAUAUGAAAAGAAGUUUCAAGGUUGGAUGUAUGCAUUGUACCACAACAUCUCAUGAUUCAUGCAGCAAGGCCAGUAUGCAAUUAUUGUUCAAACACCUCCUAAUGUAAGACACAAAUUUUACAAACCUUCACAUUGAGAUAUUCGCCUGGUUGAAAGUCCAUUAUCUGCAUGUGGGAGAAGCAAGUGAGUAAUUUAUAGGUGGCUAAAAGUAUUAAUGAUGCUUGGUUUGCUGCAUGAAAUGUGCCUGUCUUAGGUGGAAUGGCGUGGGAUACAGUAAGUAAAAUAAUGAGCUCAAAAGUGACCAAACUUACAUGGAUAUUAAAGUCAUAAGGCAUCGAAGUUGGUAGCAGCUUCCUCAGUUGAAAUACCUAAUUGAGAAAUGAGAUACAACACAUUACAUCAGCACUGAAGACUGAGACUAUGACAGUUAAAAUAACUAACAUCAUUCAUGAAUUUUCAAGGCCAAAAAGAGGAUCUGAAGCAAGACAAAACUGCCAGUCAAAGCAGCCAAGUUUGAACACCCUGAUUCUAAAAUAAAGAAACAAUUUUUAAUGCCUCUUAAUGUGCAUGGUAUGAAAAACAGACCUCCUAAAGGUAGGAAUCCUAUUUUUAGGUCAUAGAUGAUGAUCAACAGAGAUAAGGCUAUUGUACCUCUCCUGGGGUUUCAAGAAGGGGUUGCUUAUCUGUUGAACCAACAAUUAGAUCAGGGUGGGAAUCCUCGGUGGCACUGUACCUAAGAGAUAAAUUCGAGAAAGGUCUUAAUUGUUAUCAUUUUGAUGAAAAAAUGAAAAAGAGAAACUAAAGCACACUGAAAACCUGCAGUCUCGGUUAAGCCAAUCAUAUUCAUAACAAAAAGAAAUGAGCAACAUAUGCUUUGAAUUUUUUUUAGUUUACCUAAAGUUCAACAUUUCUACCAGCAAAUUUAAUCCAAUCUUUAAGAUUAAUGCACACCUUACUGACAAACAAACUUCUAGGGGAUUGCAACAGUUAUGUCAAUAAAAGUGGUAGCAACCAAUCAAAUCACUAUAUUACUACAUCACAAACUGUAGCAUAUCAAUGAAAUUACUGUACCUCCUCUCAAAUAUUACAAGAGUGGUUGAUUCAUCUGAGAUCAUAGAAUGUUCUAGGUUUGCAGGAAGAUACGCAUAGGAAUCCACCUGCACUUAUCAUCAACAGAUAGUAAUCCGCAUCAGGGCAGAAUUAGCAUACAAGGAACAAGUUCCUAAGAUAAUCGAUAUUAUGAAAACAAUAUUUUAAAAGCAUAAGAAUGCAAAUUUAUGAAAACUGCUGAAUUGAACACUUUACGAUCUCUCAUAAAUGUUUCUUGAAGAGCUGGUAGAUUGCAUAAGCCUUGCAUCUGAACAUUGGUAGGAUUCAGUACACAACUUAUAUGUCAUGCUUUUUUCUUGCCACCAGAGUAAUGUUGUAUUGUUUUACAUAACCAUGUUCUCAUAUAAUUUUAUAUCAGCUGAUGACAUGAUUGAAUACUCUUCCUUAUUACCAAAUUGAAUGGUCACAAAAAUUCGAAUAGCAUUUUCCAGAUGCGGAGUGGACUAGAGCUGAAUGGGGCUCCCCUUACAACAUAGUGCUGCAUGAAGAUAUGCAUAAACGAACCAAAAUCUUUGCCGUCAUAAAUUCAUCAUGUAAUGGAAUUUGUAUUCUUUCAACCCCCAAUGCUUAGAGAGUUCUGUACAAAAGUAGAGUGCAUAGAUAUACAGAAUUAUUUUGUUUAAAGAUUUAGAAAGAAGAAAAAAAGGCACAUACUACAUGUCUACAUCUGAUAAAGCCUUACCGACAGAGAAUGGGUAGUUUCAGUCCCCACAGACAAUAAAAUGCUGCCUUGUAGUACAAAAACGAGCCUGGAAAGUUGUUUACAAUAAGGGCAGUGGAAACCUCAUUAACAAAGUGAAUGGUGACACUUCCAAGUCAAACAAAGAGCUGGAUGCUUAAAAAAUGAGAUAUUUAACUUGGUGUGCAUUACAUUACAGCACUUGUGGCUCCAAAUGAUGUCCCAUGGACUAUUAAAAAUGGUAGUUUAUCCAAUUAUGCGUUAUUGCUAUUCUAACUAGUGCAAUGUAAGAGACCAACCUUUCAACAUCUUUCGGUGGUAGGGCUGAUUUUGAGCCAUCUGCAACCCCACAAUCACACUACUUUAGAACAUGUCACUAUAAAACCACUAAUUUUCGAAACAAAUAAAGAUAACAUGUACUUGAUGUUAAAAAACAAAGAACCAUCUUAUAGUACAGCCUUUAACUGUUAAUUACUUAAGAGUAAAGUGCAUGGCCGGUCCUUAAACUUUCUCGGGUGUGCAUCCCAGUCCUUCAACUCGCAAAUUGCAGAUUUGGCUCCCUAAAUUUAGCUUCGGGUGUUAUCCUGGUCCCCGAACUCGUAAAUUGUAGAUUAGGCUCCCUAAACUUAGCUUCAGGUGCCAUCUAGAUCCAUAUACUUUGAAAAUGUAGAUAACUUCCAUGAGCUCAAGCGCGCGUAUAGCGCUCACCAAAGGUGAAAAUCGAAGCUAGAAUUUGGAAAUCGAACUAGGAUCUGUCUGUGCGGUUUCGAAGCCAGGGAUGAUUGUCUGAGGCCCUGGGAGUAUCUCAAAAGUGCUUAGAGCCCAGCAUUAUCCACGGAAUAGCAGUGCCUCAGGUCUAGCUCAAUCAGGCUACUGCAAGUGUGCAACCAAUGGAGAUGGAGGUGAUCCACGUAUUGUAGUGAUGAACUAAACUAUACACAACUAGCGUCUCUCAAUUACCCUAAUCAUUAACACGGAAAUCAAUGAGGUUAAUGUCACUAAGAUGGGAGCAGAGGGUUGCAAUUUGAUCUAGUCGCUUCUCAUUUUCGCUCCAAAUAAGCUUUUGAGAAAAAAAAUAGAUUUAAUCAUUUAUUGUUAAGUAAUCUGUAUUUUUAAAGUAUAUGGACCUAAAUGACACCCGAAGCUAAGUUUAGAGAGCCAAAUAUGCAAUUUGCGAGUUCAGGGACCGGGAUGACACCCGAAGCUAACUUUAGGAAGCCAAAUAUGCAAUUUACGAGUUCAGGGACUGGGGUGACACACCCGAGAAAGUUUAAGGACCGGCUAUGCACUUUACUCAUUACUUAAUUAUGCAUGACUAACUAUGGAAUGGGAGAGUAAUAUAUUUAAUUGCAAAAAGACUGUCCACGCCUGAAAGGAAAUUUCAACAAAAUUCUGGCUGCUUAAAUGAUCUGGUAUGAAACAAAUAUCCACCUUAUAGAAGUAGAAAAUUAUAUCUGAGUUCCAUGGGAACUUGUUGAACAAUUACGAGAUCAAAGCAUAUCGAAACUUGUGCUACAUGACUAAGAUGGGCCGCAAAAUACUUUCCAUAUGAGUCUUAAAAGACAUAUAUUAGAAAAUCUAUGCACCUGCAAACUUUCAUGUUUCUAUCUAUGGUUCUUGCAAAUGGGACAAAUAGCUCACCUUGCAUGUUUGCCAGGUACAUAGUGAAGUGUGCACCAAUGGCUGGACUGAUCAAAUAUGCACCUAAUGUAUUGAUCCUAAGCAGAGGGUAAAUGAUAAGCGCAUGACAUUAGCAUAGCUUCAGAAAAUGAAUAGAAAGUAUAAGCAGAAGGAAACUGUACCAAUCAGGCAGAGGACCGAAUACAUGACUUUCUGGUGUUAUUAAAGCAUGAUCCCUUUUGAAAACGCUACGUGUGAAGCCAGGUAAAUCUAGAGUUCCAAAAAGGGAUUCCAAAAAAGGACCAUCAUUAGAUGGAAUAAACAAUAGGAGCAUCUGUAUUUAUGGACACAAGGAUUAGCUUAACAAAUAAACAACACAGCACAAAGUAGUCAAGCAAACACAUUUCCUCUAGCCUUAGAGAUCAUGGCAUAAAUCAGAAAGAAUAUUCAUUUAUUCAGAAUGAUUAGCAGGUGCAAGAUUUAAAUCUUUGCACAUCACUAAUUAAUUCAUAAAUCAUAAUGGAUAGGUUCAAUCCAAUCCAAGGAGCUUCAUAGGACUACGGGACAUGGGAAGAGGCAAUAAAAGGAGUUUGAAGGGAUGGAAUAUACCCAAAGAUUUAGCCCUGGAUAGGAGUGCAUGGAAAACAGCUAUUCAUGUGCCCGAACCCUGAUUUGUGGCUCUAGUUGGGUUUCAACUCUAGCCUAUCCCAACUUGCUUGGGACUGAAAGGGCUAUGUUGUUGUUGUUGUUGUUGUUGUUGAAAAGUAGAAUAUAAGAAUUAAUAUUUCUCAGACACCAGCUCAUGUCUUCAAGGUUUUCCAGAUUUUUUUUUUGAGGAAACAAGGUUUUCCCGAUUUGAGAAUUAAUACUUUUCAUGUAGACAGUAGCAUACUUCAAUUCCAUCAAAAACUCCUAUAUAUGCAUGGGAUCAUAAGACCGCCAAUAGGAUGCCGGUGACACCCAUAUGACCAUAUAAAUUGGAUUUUGAUGCAGUCCAUAAACCCAGGGUUUAUGGCAAGACUGCAACUAUGACCAGUUGACCACUGAACCUGGAAACUAGAUUUAUGAAGUUCAGUGACAGCGACUCAGGCAGCAAGCAAAGAAAAAACAUAUCCCACUGGCCAUUCCAAAAAAACGGGCGACUCUAGUCUAAGGUUGGUCCGCUGGUCCUCAAUACGCACCUUGGAGGUGCGCGGGCGCGAGGGUGGGGUGGGUAGCCUUCCAGUAGAGCGGCGGCCCCCCGGAGCACCCGCUCGACGGCUCCGCCGAGCAGAAACCCUCGCCGGCAUCUCCGUAUCCAGCCGCCGCUCCUGCAAUCGGACAAAGGAACACACCGCGAAGCGUGUGAGGCAGGAGCGAGCACUGGCACAGUGGACACUGCGGAUGAUGCCAAAGUGGCGGCGGAGAGAGGGGAAGCGCGGGUUAGGGUUCCAGCGCUAUUACCGCAUCGCAGCGACGCCGCGAGGACGAAGAGGAAGAGGGAGCGGAUUGGGGUGCUCGCCAUUUGCCGCGGAGUGAUUCGCAAAUUUUUGGAGAGCAGCGGAGGCGGAGAAGAGAUGGAAGGAAGGUGGAGGGGGAACUCGGGGAGCGUGCGGAUGACACACUGUCGCCGUGUCGCGCACCGUGGACUGUGGUGCGGUGGCGGGCCCCACCAGGUGACUUGGAUGUCAUCUAUCGUCCUUUUUUUGUUUUUUUUAAAUGGAUCGUGGCUUUUCUUUUGUUAAGAAAUGUUUUCGUAUCUUAUAUGCAGUGGAUUUUUUUUCUUAAAAAUGGAUCAUGACUUUUCUUUUUGUUAAGAAAUGUUUAUCUAACCAUUGAUUUUAAAGGUUGCGGUAGUGAUGCAUGACAUACGAGUCCUUAUGUUUUAUUAUUGCCGUGAUUUACCUGAAAUAACAUUUCACCUGUAGUAGUAGACUAGUAAUGAGUAAAUGAUCCUCCUCCAGAAUAUUGGAGCUGCUGGAUCGUGAAUCCACUGUAGUCCUAUCCCACCAAUAGGACUUCUCGUCCCGCAAAGCAAAUGUUAAGAAACAAAGGUCUUGUUUAGUUUUAGUUGCCAACUUUGGGAUGCCAAAAUUACUGUAUACUGUAGCAACACUGUAGCGUUUCGUUUGUAUUUGUGAAUUAUUGUCCAAAUAUUGACUAAUUAGGCUCAAAAGAUUCGUCUCGCAAAGUACAACAAAAUUGUGCAAUUAGUUUUUAAUUUCGUCUACAUUUAGAGCAUGUUUGAUGUGAUGGGGAAUCUUCUUUUUGCAUAGUGCUAAAGUUGGGAUUUAGGGGUGAACUAAGCAAGGCCAAAGGUCGUGUGAUGUAGCCUGCACUCUUUUAUUAGACCAUACAAAUUCAUAGACGAGCAUCAAGAACCAUAGCUCAGCAGUUGAAACUCACCGCUAUAAUGAACUGUAACUAGGAAUCUUAAGGUUACUUUACAUUACCGAUCAGUAACUUCACUUCAGCUCUCAAUGUUGAUGGAAAGGCAUACAGCCAGAUUUCCGAUGUUGUAUCUGUUUUAGCGGCCAUCCAACUAACAAAGUGGUCAUCGAAGUCUAAGUAGGCAGAAUUGUUGACAGCCACUGAACCGGUGCAACUUGGAUAGGAUGGAUGACUCUCCUCAGUGUGCCAGCAGGCAAGGCGGAUACAGAGCAUGCAAACAGUGUGAUUUACUCAAGCCACAAGCAAAGACAUGAUUCAAGUGCCCACAAGACAAUCAUCAUGCUCUGUGGAUACAUUGACAUCACCAGAGACGCCCACAAGAUCAGCACUUGGAUUGACAUGAGGAACAGAUGGCGCAGAGGUGACAGUAGCCUGAUUGAGUACCUUGACAAGGAGCAACAUCAGGACUUCAAACAACAACCCUGGCCAGGGGACAGUCACGGUGCUGUCAGCAUGAGCACUUGAGCAGCUCCUCCCUGUCUCACUGUCUGGUGUGGGACAGAGGACAGAUUCAGUGAUUCAGUGUGGGACAAGGAGUCGAAUUGGUAUCUGGGUUCAGUAUUUAAUUUAGAUGUGCAAGAACUAAGAACAUGGGAAGAGAAGUUUGUGGGAUUAUGUAAAGUAAAACCAUAGGGAAAUUUUACUUCCAUGAAGACGGCAGGUUUACUUGAAAGUGGAGCAUGUCCAAGUCCAAUGCCCUCAUCUGCCUCAACUUCAGCACCGUCAUGAGCCCUCUGACCAGGUUGUUGGCAAAGAGAAGGAUUUACCCAGAAAUAAAUGUUGCUUGUCCCAACCUUCCAUUGUGCUGUCUGCAGGAAGAACAUAUGAGCCUACCAAAUCAACAAUAUAUCUUGUAAAAUAUAUGAUGAUAGAAUUUCUAAUAUGUAUGUUCAAAUGAGUCACUCUACAACAACAUUAGCUAGCACUACACGGUUUCUGUUGACCGCAGGGUGGCAUAUGGAUGGAUCACCACAUAAACCACACUUUUGCACCUUAUAACUAGAGACAUUUGCUUUGGCAGUGGAAUAUUCUGAAUUUCUGAUCAGAUGUUGGCUAAUAAAUGGUGCCUCGAUUUUCAACUACACAAUAGCUCAGGUUUAUCUCUCUCGACUAUUGUGAUUUUGCUAGAGACUGCAAAUGAAUCCCAACUACAAAAGUUUGCAAAUUUUCAACAUACUGAUCUACUAAUUCUCAAACAUGUUAUAGCCUAGGAACCUAGCCACAUUUUGCACAUUAACAUGUUAUAGCCUAGGGAUGCAUGUACAUGAUGUUCUCACAUCAGUAGUUGAAAACAAGCUUUACACAGCUCACACCUAGAGAACAAGUUAGCAUCAGUUCAGCUGAUUUCAACACUAGAAGUUAAAUUUCUGAGAUAAAUGCUUGUAAUAUGCCAUGCAGAAUAAAGAACAAAAACUCUACAAGAAUAAAUAACUAAGAAACUUAACCAAAGGAAAAAAAGAAACUAGACCAUGGGGAUAGACUCCCCAGGGCUUUGUUCUAAGAAGGUGUCGCGCUUCAGACCCAGAUCGGAACUUAACCAAAGGAAGAUGAACAAUGUAAAUAUAGCUAGGUGAUUUACCAGAGUUCUUUGCUGCAAUAAGCUGAGGUUGAAAUCCAUGCAUGAUGCAUCAAUGUGUAUCAUCCAAGCAAGCUAUCACAAUCCUAAGUGCCCAUCACUGUCAUUUCUUUCCUCAACUUCUCCACCAUCUCAUAGUCUUGAGACUUCUCAUAGGCACAAAUAAAUGCAUGGUAAACCUCGCUACCAGCGUUAAAUCCUUUUCCAGCCAUCUCUGCCUGGAGUCUGAUCGCCACCUCCACCUCCCCUUCAUCACAAAACCCCUUUAUCAAUAUCUCAUAACUCCUCCGAGUUGGCGCAAACUCUUCCCUCCUCAUCUCCUCCCGCAAAACAUGCAAGCCAUCCUGAACCCUACCAUUUUGACAUAAUGCAUCCAACAAUUCCUCAACAACCUCUGACGCCAACCCAAACCCCCUCCUCCUCAUGUCUGCACGCACAAGCAGCGCCGCCUCAGCAUCCCCUUCCAUACAAUGCCCCCUAACCAACCAUUCAAACGUCGUGGCACUUGGAUCAAUUCCAUCCAUCUCCAUAUUUUUAAACAUCUCCUCUGCCAUCCCUACCUCCCCAGCACGGCAAUAGCCACCAAUCAUCGUGUUGUACACAAUUACAUCAGGCUGGAUCCCUUCCUGAACCAUCUCACCCCACAGUCCUCGUGCCUUCUCCACAUCUCUACAAUCGCAGUACUCAGCCAUCCUAAUACUGUAGGUGCAGACAUUGUUCCUGCAGGAAUAUUUGCCCAUUUCCUGGAGCACAAUCUUGAAUUCAUCGCACUUGCCCUCGCGGUAGAAGGCUAGGAGAAGGGAAUUGAAGGUGUGAACGGUUGGCUGGAGCAGGUGGCUGCUCUGUGGAGUUGAAUGUGUGUAGAUUUGAUGGUACAUGUCGAGCGCCGCGGCGGCGGAGGGAAGUGAUCGAAGAAGAGCGGCGGCAGUGGAGGGGAGCGGCCGGGCGCCGGCGGCGAGGAUGCGGCGGGCGACGGAGGCCGCGGCGAGGGCGUCGCGGCGGGAGCGGAGGUACGCGAGGAGGAGGAGGUCGAAGACAAAUGGAGCGGAGGCAAAGCGGCGGUAGGUGGCGGCGAGGGCAUUGAAGAUCUCGGCCGGGGAGUAGUGGCGGGAGGCGGAGGCGAGGACAGCGAGGGCGGCGCCCCGGAGGCGCGAGGCGGCCGCGACGUGGGCGGCGGAGGCGGAGAGGACGAGAGGGGGAGUGGAGUGGGAGGGGAGGAGGCGGCGGAGCGCGAAGGCGUGGAAGCGGAGCGCGGUGUGCGGUCGGCGGCGGAGGAGGAGGAGAACGGCGGCGGUGGCGGAGGGCGGGAGCGGGGACGGGACGGGGAUCGAGGAGAGGUGAGACCACUUGGACUUGGCGCGGUGGGAGGUGAGCGCGGUGGCGGCAGCGGCGGCGUACGGGUGGGCGGCAUCGACGAAGUAGCUGGACGAGGGGUCGGCGGUGGGGUCUCGGCCGCGUGUGCCGGCGGCGUUCAUGGAGAAGGGCAGCAGAUGCCUAUGGGGUGGAUUGGAUGACACUAGUAUGACAGUGAUGGAACGGCGGUGGCCAGAAGAGCCAGGUAACUUCAACUGGCGCAACCAGCAGUGGCUUCCCCGUGAAUACCCAGAGUUGACUCAAAUCGAUGCCCUGCUAGAGCGAGUUGACUCGAUUAUUGGGAUUGGAAUUGGGCUCUGGGUAAGAAUCAAGACCCAGCCAGAAUUGGGAUUGAGACUUGAGAGCCUGCUUGGUUGGCUCCAAAAUUUGUCCAACCAAAAUUAAGGUAAGCUUGUAAACAUUGUCACUUGUUUGGUUGAAAGUUAAAAGAUUUUGACCAUCACAUUUUAGCACCCAAUCAAGUUCUUUCUUCCUCAAGUUUUAGCAAAGUUUAACGUACCAUCCAAACACCCCAUGUGUUAAAUUUUAGCAUUUCAUUUGAGAGUGUUAAAACUUUAACACUUGUUAAAUUUUAAUACAGGGUAUGCAAACAGACCCUUAGACUAAUUACUUACAUAACUUGGGCCCUCCACUAGCAUGGCCCUUGGCCGUCACCCCUAAUGCCCUAGGGUCAGAACCGGCCCUGACAGAGUGCAUUGCAGCAAAAGUGUGCAUUUCUCUUUUCUUCCUUUUCUUCUUCUAAGUUACAGUGUAAGAUGCCUGUGUUGAGCAAAGUGAAAUGUACGGAUUGUUGCAUGUUGAGAAACAUCAUCCUUCAUUUCUUUGAGUUUUGCUUACUCUUCUUUUGUAUUUCAGCUACUGAAAAAGCUCGGAAGAAAGGUGAUGGUACUAGCAUCUCGAUGAAGAAGUACAAGUUGAGUACUAGAAAGUUGAAGAAUUACUAGCAUUUCCGAAUUUUUUAAACAUUAAAAAUGAAUGUUUCUGUGAAAACACAAUAAAUUAAUCGCAAGGAUAACUGAAAGUCGAAAAUAAAAAAGAAAAAAGAAAAGGAAGGAAUGUAAACUAACCUGGGUUUUGCAUUCAGAAAAGAAAAAACUAACCUGGGCUUACCUUUCGGCGAACUGGCCGGCCUUUGCGUGCUGGGCUUGAUACGGGCCGUUCGACGUUGACUGAAGCCGCGAUCGGUGCGGUGGAUGGAACUCCCAGGCUCCCAGCGCUUCAGCCCUCGCGUCGCCUCCUUCGGUUGUUCCUCGCGAGAUCUCGCCGGCGCCGCCCGCCUCCAUCUCCCACGCUGCCCUCUGCCGCCACCACCACCUCCUCUGCCGGUGCUCAUCUGUGACGCAAUUCGCCCCCGAAGCUCGAUCCCGUCACCCCCCGCCUUCAGGUAGGUCAUCGUCUCCUCCUUAGGUGAACACCCAUGAAGGACAUAGUCAAGGGGUCGUUCAUGGUAGCAGUCCCUCGGUUGCCUUUCUUCCUCCUCUCUCACUGUCUGGGGUUUCGAUUCUGCGGUUGCGGGAUCAGUGGAGAAGAGGAGCGAAUGGAUUUGAGUAAUGUUUCCUCAAUUUGGAGCCAAGGGUCUCAGAUUAAAAAAAAAAGAGCUCCGAUCUGAUUUUCCUUAUCCUUUGUGAUCUCCAAUUUGAUGCUAUAAUCACCUGGUACGCCUUCAAUCACUAAUUGGAUGAUUUGGGGAUCUAAAUGCUGGCUGCUCUGGUUUUAUUCUGCAAGUCUGAACUUGCGAGUUGCGAUUGAUGUUUGUGCACAAGGGAACCGGGCACGAGAUGAUUUGAGCAUUGUAGAGGGGAUUCAGUUUCUCUGCUAUACCAUCUAUGAACAAUUCAAUAUCCAUUUUAGGUUAUACUUGUUCCCUACAACUAUUAUAUUAAGCUAGAUCACCCCAGCCUAGCAGGUGGCACUGGGCAGGAAUCUUACUAUUGUGCUGGAACAUUGGACAUUUCCUUUAUUCGUAGGCAAAGUGUCGGAAAUUGUUUGUCUGACAUGUAACACCGUUUACAGAAUUAUCUGUGCUAUCCAGUUAAUUGACCAAAAUGAGUUCGUCACUGGUGGGUCCAUCAUUUGAAGUAUGGGUAGUAGAGGGUCAAUCAUUUUAAGAAUUCAUCUCCAACUUUUAUUUGUGUAUCUGCACACCCAUUUGCUUUCACAAAGUCCUACUUGUGGACUAAACUUCCUGACUUGUGUCGGUGUGUAUCUUGCAGAUGUUACAUUUUUCUCCAGUCCUUAAGAGUAAUUAACAUCUAUUAGUCAGUCAUGGAAGAACAGCAAGUCAAGCCAUCUGAUCUGCCACCAACUAAUUCGGACAACCAGGAUUCAGCUGCAACUCCUCCUGUUACCACUGUUGACCCUGUUCAUCCGGCUGCUUCAACUGAUUCUUCCAGUCAGGUUGCUGGUGUAGAUCCUGCUGUUAUCUCUGCACCAACUGCUGCUCCUGCAAAAGAUGCUGCGGGACGUGAGGCACCGGCAUCCAUGUUUUCUACAUCUGGUUUAUCAUCCUGGGCUAAGAACCUAAAAAUUCCUCAGCCUUCAUCAGGUCAAGAAUCACCAACAGGAAAGAAUACCUUUGCCCGUUUUACAAGUGGCUUUGGAUUGCGUUUGUCUCCAAAAGCUGCACAGCAAGAUGAGAUUGCUGAGGGAAGCACCUCCCCAACAACAGGACAGCCUGGUGUUUUUGGUUCUUUGACAAAAGGCAUUGUAGAUUCCUCCAAGAAUGCUGUAAAGGCAGUGCAAGUCAAGGCUCGCCACAUGGUCUCACAGAAUAAAAGACGAUACCAGGUACCUUUAAUUCACACGGGGAUCUAAAAUUUGACGAAAAUUUGGCAUCUUCAAAUACUCUUGUUGUUCAGUUCACAUAGAGUAACAUGAUCACGAAACGAGCGUUCAUUGAUCACCUUCUUUGAUAGAAUUAAUAGAUUAAUUUUUUGAGCAUCCAUCAUUUGUUGAAAUCUGAUAGGAACAUUGUCACGGUAAACUUGCUGCAUAAUGUCACUUUAUGCCAGCGUACACUUGUGUGUGCUGACUGUCAGCUUAGCUAUCUUCAAUAGCAUACUCUUAACAUCCGUAGGUGCUUGGCAGUAGGGGGAUGAUUAAUGCCUAGGCAGGCUAGCUGGCCACCUUUUUGAAUGAUAGUUUCUCGAUCAGUGGAGAUCUUACUUUGUGCCUUAUGGUGAUAAUAGAUCAUAAGUUUUAUGUACUUUGAUAUAAACAACAAAGACAAUGGGAGAUUCUGUAUUGGGAGAAGGGUAAAUUUGCUUCCAGGAACAAGAACCAUCAAUUUGACGCUGUCUAUUGAGCUUUUUAAUUUUUUAUAAAUUAUGUGGAGUUGAUUGUUGUAUUGAUCAAGGAAUUCUGUGUCAGAUCAUAUUAGUGAUGAUCCUUUAAUGAUUAAGUUUUGUUGAUUUACUAUAAAGGAAAACUCUAUUGAUUUGAUUCUGCUACUAUGCAGGAAGGAGGAUUUGAUUUAGAUAUGACAUAUAUUACUGAGAACAUAAUUGCUAUGGGUUUUCCUGCUGGUGAUUUGAGUUCAGGGCUUUUUGGAUAUUUUGAGGUCAGUGUACUAACAAGGCUUCAAAGUUUGCUUAAAGCUUGUUCCUUUUUAUUUGCCUCAUGAAUAGAAAGGAAAAAUAACACUCCAUUGCAGGGUUUCUACCGCAACCACAUGGAGGAAGUCAUCAGGUUCUUUGAAAUGCACCAUAAGGUAACUUUGUUCUUUAUGAAGUUUCUUAACUGUUAACAUAAAUGCUUCCCAGGUAACACAUUUCAGAUUGUUAGUAAUAGUCUAUUGUUGGAUUUUCUUGUCCAUUUUCCUCGUAAUGCAUCAGUUAAACAACCAUACCUUGAACUUGCUGCGUUAACUUAAUGUUAUUAAUAUAACACAAGCCAGUACUCCCCCCUCUAUUUUUUGAGGGAAUUACUCCCCCUUAUGUUGUACCAGUGUACAGUGUUUUCCUUCUUAAAAAGAAAGUUCAUGUGCUUAAGAGCAUUGAUUGUCUACUUAGUUUCCAAUUUUCAAAGUUGCUAGAUAAGUAUAAAAGAGAACCUACAUUUGAGGGCUUAUCUUUUUGACAAUACUUCGAAAUGUUAAGGAACGUUGAACAAUUCAUUCAUUUAGCCUUCUAAUUUAAUCGUUGUGUUACAGGGGAAGUAUAAGGUGUACAACCUUUGUUCUGAAAGGCUAUAUGAUGCAUCCCUUUUUGAAGGAAAGGUAUGGGUUGCUUAUUAUUUUGUGUUCCCCUCUUCCUUCUAUUUCCAGUUUUCCAAAUUUAUCGUGCACACAAGGCAUGCACUCCUUGUCACCAACAAUGAAAGAUACUAAAAACUCAGUGGUACUUAUAUCUGGUGCAUAAACAGUUUCCUUGUUAUAUUUGCAAUUUGCCAAUCAGUUGUUGAUAUUUUUGAAAGGUCUUUCAAUGGUUUAAAGCCAGUUUAUCUUUCAACACCUAUGUUAUGCCUUGUCAUGUGGGAAUCUUAAGCCUAGUCAGUUUAUCAUUCAACACUUACGUUAUGCCUUGUCAUGUGGGAAUCAAGCCUUGCAGCUUUGUGAAUUUAUUGGUUUGUUUUAUUGGAAAUAUUCAAAAAAUUCGUGCAUAUUUCAGGUGGCCUGCUUCCCAUUUGAUGAUCAUAACUGCCCUCCAAUACAACUUGUCAUAUCAUUUUGCCAUAGUGCCUACUCAUGGUUGAAAGAGGAUAUAGAGAACGUGGUGGUUGUUCAUUGCAAAGCUGGGAAGGCAAGAACAGGAUUGAUGAUCUCGAGUCUUCUACUGUUUCUAAAGGUAAAGUUAGCAUGCACUGUAUAACAAUCAGAAUAACACCUGCUACGAAAUCUUUACCAAAUUUCUUACAGUUGGAGCUUCUUUUCUUUUCCUUUUGUAAUGGACAGUUCUUUCCUACUGCUGAGGAGUCCAUUGAAUACUAUAACCAGAAAAGAUGUGUAGACGGCAAGGGGCUUAUUCUUCCAAGUCAGAUUGUGAGUGAACUUCAUUGAUAUACACAAGUUUAUCCAUAUAAUUUUGUCUUUAUAUUGUUCUGAAUAUUUUGAAAAAUUACAGAGAUAUGUGAAGUAUUUUGAACGCAUCUUAACUUAUUUCAAUGGUGAAAGUCAGCCGCCCCGCAGGUCUUUAUACCUUUGCAACCAUGGUGCCGAUAUGAUAUGCAUGUGUAUUGUGCUUUAGUAAUUAAUCAUGUGAUAACACUUUCCAGGUGUAUGCUUAGAGGGUUUCGUCUUCAUAGAUGCCCCUAUUGGAUCAGGCCAUCAAUUACAGUCUCUAAUCACAACGGUGUGUAUUUUUAAUUGAAACCAAAAUUGCCAUGUGCCAUAAUACAUUAAUUUAAUAACAAAAUUCUUGCUGUGUUUUGAUAUCUUCUAUUGUGUCAUGUAAUAAAUCUGUUGUGCAGGUGUUCUUUUUUCUACAAAGAAGCAUCCAAGAACAAAAGAACUAAUGGUAAGCAUCUUUGUUUUAUGAAUCGCUCUUAUUUUGCGUUCAGUAACCCGUGGGUUGAUGUUUUCUUCCCCGUAGUUUGCUAUGGAAUGUUCGAGUAGCUCAUAUUAUGGAUUCUUCAUGGCUUGAUGCUUGUUUGCAUAGUGGGUAAGGGCACCAACAUAUUGGCCGGCAUGUUUUGAUGUACCAAUGCUAAAUAAGGGAAUGUCUCAUUGUACAACUUGAAAUAACUAGUACCAAUGACCCAUAUAUUCAUAUUUGCAUGGAUAUGUCUAUUAGCACAGCAUAUUGUUCGCUAUGCAAAACUAUGCUUGGAGAGUAUAAUUCACAAUAUCGCAUUAUUUCCUUUGUUCCUGUGGGCAAAUAACAAAAAAGACAUUCCCUGAAUUAGUUUUCUCCUUGCUGUCACUUAUAAACACCAAAAAAUAUAUAAAGAUGCUAUAUUAUUCUUCUAUGACCUAACAGUAUGUCCUGUUGAUAUUUAUCAUCUAUUUUUUAUUUAUUCAAUGCAGACUUUAUCCCUCUGUAACCUUCAUUGGAAACUAAAUGUAUUAUCAUAAUUUCAGCCAGAAGAUUUCUGGUUUAGUGCACCAAAGAAGGGGAUUAUGGUUUUUGCAUUGCCGGGAGAACCUGGCUUAGCUGAGGUUUCUGGUGAUUUCAAGAUCCAGUUUCAUGAUCGACAGGGAGAUUUUUACUGGUGAGCUCCAUGAAGUUAUUGUAUUAUUCCUAUAUAGACUCGUUCUUCUAUUACUUAUAAUGGGUUCAUUUUUCUUUUGUUACCAUGUUUUCUGAGUUGCAUGGGCAUGUAUAUAUAUUAUUUGAUUUGAAUUGAUGGCACCAACAUUUUACAUGGGAAGCUGGAAAAGAACUAUUGUCUUGAAUCUUGAUAUUCGAUUUCAUUUCUUUCCCUAUCCUUUUCAGCUGGCUAAAUACAACAAUGAUGGAGAACAGGGUGACUUUGAAUCCAACCGAUCUUGAUGAUUUUGAUAAGGUGAAAGUUGCUUUAUUGCUGAUAGAAUUCAUAUCUGUCUGUGAAGAGCAAAUAUCAAACUAUUUAACAAGAUGUGCCACUAAGAACUAGAAGAAAUGUGUUUAUACGUUGUUCUUAUGAUGUUGGAAUCGGAUGUAAUUAGAUACUUGUUCAUUCGUUGCUCAGACAUCUUAUGCUGAUAGUUUCACAAAUGCACAUUUCUUCUAGUUGAUGCCUGAGAUUUUUGCUUUUCCUAAUUUAUUUAUAUUUUCUAGCCAACAUUUUGCUCCAUGCAUUCUCAUGCUGAAUACUAUAGCCUCUUCUUGUUUGCUUUGCUGCCGCUUGGUCAUCGAAUUGCAAAAUCAUGGAAGCUGAAUUUGCAACUGAGCUUUUGUCCAUGUGUAAAAUUUAUUAGCAGUAGGUGAAGAAAACCAGCAUUUUAUCAAUGAUUGCUUUUUUUAUUCAACGAUUGCUUAUUUCCAUUUUCUGUUAUUAAUUACUAUGUUGUUACAAUGUUGUGGCUCUUGUUUACCAGUUUUUGUUUGUUGAGACUUGAGACUAAAAUAUUACAUUUUUUUCAGAGAAAAUUGCCAUCACCUGGCUUCCAGGUUGAGGUUGUUCUAGUAGAUUAUGAUGGCUCACAAGCACCAAAACCAAAACCAGCUGCUGGAUCAGAUAAUAAAACUGAUGCUGACUCCUCGGGUAGCACAGUUGCUAAAGAAAGCAAUGCUGCACCUCCAGAAUCCAACAAGGGAACUGGAAGCAAUGAUAAAGAUGAAGUUUUCUCCGAUAGUGAAGGGGAAGAUGGAUCAUCCAAGGGAAGAAAGGAGAAGGCUUCCAGUGGUGGUCAAAGCAAUGCAAAUGCUGCUAAACCAUCUGAAACAAGCACCGUACAGGAGGAGGCAUCAGCUGCUGCUAGUAGACUGGAAAAAGUAGCUAUAACCAGCGAACAAGGAGCUGCAAAGGCACCGGAUGCUACAUCCCUCAAAACUGAAGUCAGCAGCAAAAGCAGCUCCACCACAGCACCAUCUCCAGCUGUUGACUCUUCCAGCAUGAGCGAAUUCAAGGCGAUUGCAGCAGAUGCCUCAGUGUUCUCGUUUGGAGAUGAAGAUGAUUAUGAAAGUGAAUAGUCACUUUCAUGGUGUUUGGUUCGCAUUGUACAGUUUGGUGCCUUCUGGGGGUCACCAUAGAAUGUCAGUUCAAAGCAGAUGGGAAGAGAAGUUGGAAAAAAAAAGAUUGAUUCAUUCUUGCAUUUUGUUUUCACUGUACAAGUUGCAUCAAUCUGUGAUGUUGUACCCAGAUGAACGUGUUGAAACUCAGGACUGGACUUUGUUGAUACCUCUCCUAUUUCUUCACAGGACUACUUUGUACACAACCUUAAACGGUGCAAUUACUUGAAUUCGAGUGUUACAGAAGACUUUGUAGAUGGGGCUUUUACAGUACAAAUUACCUUUUGAGCUUGUUUGGAAAGUUGCGGUUUCAAAAAUGCAAUUCCUGUUUAAACCGGAUCUAAGAAAUUUUCACAUCAGCACCCUUCUUUCAAAACUUGUCUAAUGCUUAUUUGGAAGUAGUAAAGGUUUGAGUGUAAGGCGUCGAAUGAGUUAUUUAAAAGUUAUAAAUCUUAUAAAUUUGUUUGUGUGCCGCAUCUAUGCGGCUAUGCCCAUUAAGUUUUGACAAAAGUGAAAAAAUAGACAUGGAAAGUGUGUAUGUAAGACCAUGAUUUCAGAAAAAAAAAACGUGGAAUCGCAAUGUUUUUAGUUACAUAGCGUGAAGUGGUGGUGCGGAUGUAAUUACACCAACGUACCCACGGGGGGAUAGUGAUCGAGAUCAUACUCAAGACAAAUCAAAGCUAUGCUAUCCUACAACGGACAACUACUUUUUAGGACUCGUUUGGCAGGACUGUGACUGAAACGGCUUCGGCUGUGCUUCCUCUAGUGGAACAGUUUUUUUUCUCUGGCUUGUCUGGUUAGAAAAACGUUUGGCAAAAUAGCUUCUCCUAAAUAUUGAAAACGGGCAAAAGGGGUAAAAUGUCUAUAAUACCCUUUUCUUUUUUUCUUUUUUCUUUUCUCUUUUCUUCCCUUUUUCCCUCUCCCCUUCCCUCUUUCUUAUUCAUUUGCCUCCCGAGACACCGCCGCUCGUCGCCUUGCCUCGCAUGCUCCCCCGCGCCAAUGGUUCCCUCCAGCCGGCAGCGGCGCCCUCCAGCCUCUCCUCAUCCCCUAUGCCAGUGAUGCCCUGCAGUGCCACCUCCUCCCCCACACCGGCGACACCCCACGGCGCCGCCUCCUCCCCCGCGCCAGCGAUGCCCUCCCAGCCCGCUUGCUCUCUCGCGCUGCCGGCACUCUCCGACCUCGCCUCAUCCCCCACGUCACCAGCACCCUUCGGGUCGCCUACUCCCCUGCGUCGUCGGGGUCCUCCGACCCCACCAUGGAGGGGGCAAACCGGGACUUUGGCCCCGUGGAUGAGAUGGAGUCACGAGGAGCCGUUUUUUUUUCCUUCAUCUUCAUCGAUUCGCUUCAAAGAGCAGGAAAUGCGAGGCUUCCGUCACGGAGCUAUUUUGCUCACACCCCUUUGGCAAGGAUUUCGUCAGAAGCUGGUGAUGAAACCGGUUGGGAAGCUCGGGCCUUAUUUUAACUACUUCCAAUUUUAAGUCACAUCUAGGACCAUUGGUAGUUGGUACGUGACAUGUUUUGUUAGCGAGGAUUAGUCCAUUUGCUGCCGCCAAAUAUUUUGAUCAUAACGGAACCUUCAGCACUAAAGUACUGAUCCUGACAGAUUGUUUUUCGUUUUCUUUUGAUGAAACCCCCGGGGAGAGGGGUGUAAGUUGAAUUAUCGUCUACUAAGGGGUAUUUGGAUAUCCCAUACUAAAGUUAAACACCUGUCACGAUAGAUGUUUAGAUGCUAAUUAAAAGUAUUAAACAUAGGCUAAUUACAAAAUUAAUUGUAUAGAUGGAGUCUAAUUCGCGAGGCGAAUCUAUUAAGCCUAAUUACUCCAUGAUUUGAUAAUGUGGUGCUACAGUAACCAUUUGCUAAUGAUGGAUUAAUUAGACUUCGUCUCGCGAAUUAGCAUAGGGUUCUGCAAUUAGUUUUAUAAUUAAUCCAUGUUUAGUCCUUCUAAUUAGCAUUCGAACAUCCAAUAUGACAAUGCUAAAGUUUAGCACUAGUAUCAAACACCGUAAAUGACUUUCUUCCGGCACGCGCACGGUGUACCCACGGCGUAACCACUUUCCGUUCCGGCACGGCGUGCAGUCUCCGUAACGCGCACGACCCCGCCACCCAUUAUUAGCCGUCAAGACUCAAUCGUUAGCCAUCUGACCAUCUCCAACCACCGCGAGUAGCCAGGUCCCAAUUCCCAAAGCGCGACGCAAGGAGAAACAGCACGGGCGAGCGACCUCCUCCGAAGCGAAGGGGCGACCCGCCCGCCCGCCGAAGGCCCCCGAGUCCGAGCCCGGUCCGGCCCAAGCGGCAGGUCGCCGGCGAUGCCGUUCCUCUCGACGCCGUCGUUCGACCUCUCCGCCGGCGCGGAGCCCACCCUGGGCCCGCGCCCCUCGGCGGUUCCCCCGCCCCCACCCACGCCGGCGGGCGCGGCCGCGCACCAGCACCAGCAGCCGCCGGUGUCGGAGGCGGCGGCGCGGCGGCUGCUGGAGGCGGAGGAGCGGCUGCGCGAGGCCAUCGAGGAGCUCCACCGGCACCAGGGCGGCUCGGGGAAGGGGGAUGGGGAUGGGGAUGGGGAGGGGGAGGAGCAGCGGGAGGGGGACUGGGGGUGCGGCCACGAGGGGGAGUCGUGCGCGGCGCACGCCGCGGGGAACCUCUGCCAGAGCUUCCUGCUCUCCUACGGCGUCCGCGUCGGCAUCGGCAUCCUCCUCCGCGCCUUCAAGCUCGCGCGCCGCAGGUCCUUUGGCUCGCUCCUCGACCUCAAGGUACCCAUCGUCGGUCCAAACCGCACCUAUUACUUCGCAUCGCCGCGCAGUUAGAUUGAGUGGGAUGAUAGAUGAAUCGAUUGCGGGAAUUUAGUUGGAGCUUGGGAUUGGAGUUUCAAAGUUAUGGUCCUUGGUUUGGUUGUUUCACUGGAGUAGAAUUGGCGAUUUUGCUUAGCUGAUGGAAAUGUGUUGGAGGGAUUGAGCAAAGGCCAGAUUCAUGUUGACAUUCUGCUGCUGCUGCUGCUGCUGCUACUGCUGCUGUUACAGCUGUCUCUUUCUCAGUGCAUAUUAGAAGAAUUAUCUGUAACAGACUGGCAAAAGUUAAAAUAUUUGAGGCAGCUGUUGUGGCAUUUGUAGUGCAUAUUCUAGUGGUAAGUCUAUGCCAGAGCUGAAUUGGUUGCUUUGACUGAUAUACCUACAGAAUGUUUCCUUCCAUUCAUUGAUUUGCGUUGAGGCUGCCCACGCCUCUGAUCCGAACAAAUAAACUUCCACCACUACUGUCUGUCUGUCUGCCUGCCUUUCUCACUGAUUCAUUAUUCACAAAUACUGUCCCACCACUGCUGACUGUCUUCCUUUCUCACUGAUUCAUUAUUUACAAAGACUGUCCCACUUCUGCUGUCCGCCUUACUCAUGUUUCAUCAUUUUUCAAUUAAAAAUGCUAAUUUAAAUAAAUAUUUUAAUUGCAGCAACUGGUUUCAGAGAAAGAUCUUAUAGUAAGAGAGGAAGCUUGCAGGGUUGGGUUACUUUUUGGAGGAUUUACUGGAUCGUAUCACGCACUUCGAUGUUUCCUUAGGAGAUUUAGGAAAAAGGAGACACCGUACAAUACGUAAGUACCUAUAUGCUUUGACUCCUUUGCCUAAAUUUCAGUACAGAUCCCUGGUUAAUAAGUCUAUGUCUAACCAGUGCUUAACCUGGUAGUCGCUAAUAGGUUCAUAUUAGACUAUUUCCUUGUAUAUUUUUUCCUCAAAUCAUAUUCAUGACUCAACUGAAGGGCGUGAUGGAGCAGAAUAUUAGCAGGUUCGGUGGCAGGAUUGGCCAUACUAGCACUAGAUGAUUCAAGUAGGAGGCGCACUCUAUCUCUAUAUCUUCUAGCAAGGCUCGCUCAGGUAGGGGGCAACUAAACAGUUUCCUUGUUUAUGUGGCGAAACUGGAUAAAUGACCUAUUAUACCGGAAAUAUUAAUUUAUUACUACUUAAUAAUUGCAGUGUGCAUAUAAUUCUGCAAAAUCUAAGAACAAAUUUCACUUUUGGGGAAGCCAUUGGAGACAUGGAGAUGCAUUGCUUUUUUCAUUGGCAUCUGCCCAGGUAACAAACUGUAGCUACCUAACAGAGUUUGCUUUUAUAUGAAUAUAAUUCUGUUAUGGUGGAAAAGGCUUAUGUAAUCACCAGUGUUAUGUUUCCAGGUUAUGUAUGCUUUUGUUAUGAGGCCCGAAAGCUUACCUAAGUCGUACCAAGAAUUCAUCCUUAAGACAGGACCAGUAGCGGAACCUGUCUACAAGGUUGUUAGAGAAUGUUGUAGAGGUGGUCCUGUGGAUCUAAAUGCCCUCUCAGCCUAUUUAUCAAACAAGAGGAAUUCAGAUUUGAUGCAUUUAACAACCAAUCCAUCCAUUAUUCCGUGUUCCGUGAUUCAUCCUGACAGAGCAUCAUGCUUGGCUCAAAAUGUUCAUGUUGUUUCAUCAACAUUCAAGAAAACAUUCCCUCUAUAUUUCUCAUUGACAUUUGUACCCUUUGUUGUUCUACGUCUUCAAAAGGUAAUUCACUAGCCAUUCUAUUUCUUUAUUCUUUUUAACAUUCAGCUAUUUUACCGAAACCUGAUAUGUUCUUGCUAUUAUCUGCGUACAAUAUUUUUCUCUCCUAUAUAACUUAUGCGUCGACAAGAUAAAAUCAAGUCAUAUUGUGCCACUAUCUUUUUACUGUGCCUGCAUAACAUGCUUGAAUUUUGCUACACGCAAUAAUCUUGCAUCAUUUUAUUCUGCCAAUGAAAUCAUUUUCUCAACCACUAACAACCCACAAAACCUAGUAUAAUGUAGCCAUUUGUUGUAUAUAGUCUUUCUUUCUGCUGAUGUGUAUCCACCUUAUGUCAGUGAGCUAACUCAUGAUUUUUUUAAAAAUAAAAAACACUAGUUCCUGGAAUCGCCGGCUGCAACUUGUUGGCGUGCUCUUGUGGGUGCAGUUCGCUCCACCACCUUUUUGUCUGCUUUUGUAACUCUAUUCCAGGUAAUUUUUCAUAGCAGCAGUACAUUACUUCACUCAUAACUAUUUCAUGAUUCUGAUAGCAUUCUUGCAUGUUGGUAGGCUGCUAUAUGUUUGCACCGAAAAGUUGCAAACAAAGACCACAAAAGUGUGUACUGGUUUGCUGGUUUGAUGUCAGGUCUUUCAAUUCUUUUGGAAAAGAAAGCUAGAAGGGCUGAGCUUGCCCUCUAUGUGCUUCCCCGUGCUGGAGAUUCUCUAUGGUAUAUAUUGAUCAACCGCCAGCUGCUCCCAAAUAUUAAAAAUGCUGAGGUAAUUUUGCAUAUGGUCCCUCCCACUUCCUUGCAUUCUGUUUUUUAGUUAUCUAAUUUUGUUCAAAGUAAGCUACGAGGUAAAGUGAACAGCAUUUCCCCUUUUUCAAAAUAAUUUCAAUUUUUUGUGAUAUACUUCCUCUGUCCCAAAUUGUAGAUCGUUUCGGCAUUUCUAGGUGCAUAUAUUUUGCUAUUCAUCUAGAUAUACACUAUAUCUAGAUACAUAGUAAAAACUAUGUAUCUAAAAAUGCCAAAACGACCUACAAUUCAGAACGGAGGGAGUAACACAUUAUGUUGUUUGCUGUUAUGGCUGCAAAGGAUCUUACAAUACAUAACCUUGUUCAAAGCUGUUAUGGCCAUUGUGCUCCUUGGCUAUGUGCCAACUAAUGUUUCAUUUCUCCAUCUCUCCUAUAGGGAGCGUGCACAAGUUUUAAAGCAUCACAAGGCAGAGUUAGAUGUAACUUGUAAUCUGCCCUUGGUUUAUGUUUUAAAAUCUGUGCAAUUCACAAAGGGCGGAUAAGACACUUUUUUAGGCUAGUAAUUUUAGAUAGCGACAAAGGUAUUGAUUCAACUAGUUGUCCGGUAAUAGUUCCUCUGGUAUCCAGUAAGGCAAGAUCCAAUCAGAUGUUAACUGGAUGUAGUGGCAGAAUGGUGUGGUUGUUGCUUUACAGUUACUUAUUGAUCACCUUGGUGGGUUUUUAAAUUCUCACAGUUUGGUGUUAACUUUUUUUCCCAUAAAAAAUAAGGAAGUGGUACAAUUAAAUGUGAUAAAAUCUUAUUCAAUGAUGCAAAUCAUACAUAAAGUGAGUGCAAAUUCCGCAGUUGCUGGUGGAUUGAUUUUUAGAAGCCAGUUGGACCUUAAUGUCCGAAUUAUUUUGGCAUAAUGCACUCACCAGACUCCGAGUGAUAACUCUGAGCUGACUGUUUUUUUUUUGUUUUUUUUUUGGGCAUGGUGGUGUUUACUUUGGCAUGGUAGUGUUUUUUUUGGACAUAUGCUGUUUGACAGUAUAAAGUUAAGAUUGGGAAGUUUUGAUGCUGGUACCUUGAAGUAUAUCUUGUAGCUAGAUGUUUUCUCUUUGUAAAUCUUUCAGUUUUCCUGUGUAGCCUCAUAGCAUCCUGGAUCAACCGACCCAGCAACUGCCAACCUUUCAUAUUUCAAAAACAGUAACGUGGCAACCUUUGCAGGUGGCUCUCUUCUGCAUGUGCAUGGGAGGAAUCAUGUACUUUCUGGAGUACGAGCCGGACACUAUGGCUCCAUUCCUCAGAGGCCUCAUCCGGCGCUUCCUGGCAAGCAAGAUCAGCAACCCGAGCCCCCCUCCCCCCAAUCGCAACACCUCGCACUCGUACCUUCAGACACUGAAUGCUCUGGAGCAAUCAAGAACCCAGCCAGGUGUAGAUAACGGACUGCCGACAUCAGAGAAGUACAACCUUGAAUCAAUUCCUGGACUUUAGAAAGCUCGUCUGUGGUACUGAUUACAGGGUCUUGUAGCUUCGGAGAAUCAGUAAAUCUAACCAAAUUAGCACCCAUCACAUGUGCCAUCCUGAGGUACAGAUGGGUUUAAAUUUCUUUGUGCGGGAGUGGUGUGAUAUAAAGCAAUUUCUCCUGGUUCUUAUUAAUUGUACAUGGAGUGGCAAAGAUUACCGAUGGCAAGGAGUUGCCGUGUUUUGGUCUUGCAACAGAGAGUUUGUCAAUAUGCAUAUAUCUGCUCCUGUGUUUUGGGAAGAUAUUGUACAUUUGUUUCUGUUACUUGUGCGGAAUGGCCACAAACAACUCAUUUUGUUCUUAUACCCUUCUGUCUAGAAUAUAAUUUGCCCUCUUUUGGAAUUGGUUAGCGGUCAAACUUUUUGACCUUUUAGAUUCUUGACAAGGAUAUAGACCAUGUUGAUAUCCUACAUGUAUUUUUUUUAUUAGAAAGGGCAUUCUUUAACACGCUGAGUUACAUUAGUGUAAGACUGAUACGUAGGUCUUUGACAUAAUCUUUCACAACAUGAUCCCUAGAGCUGGUUAGAACGCUCUCCAUAAAUCUUAAAGGCCUUGUUUAGUUACCUCAAAAUUCCAACUUUGGCACUAUGCAAAAAGAAGAUUCUCGAUCACAUCAAACUUACGGUACAUGCAUGGAGUACUUAACGUAGACGAAAUGGAGUACUGAACGUAGACGAAAUCAAAAACUUAUUGUACUGAACGUAGACGAAAUCAAAAACUUAUUGCACAAUUUGGUUGUACUUUACGAGACGAAUCUUUUGAGCCUAAUUAGUCAAUAUUUGGACAAUAAUUCACAAAUACAAACGAUAAUUGCACAAUUUGGUUGUACUUUGCGAGACGAAUCUUUUGAGCCUAAUUAGUCAAUAUUUGGACAAUAAUUUACAAAUACAAACGAAACGCUACAGUAUGCUACAGUGCUGGCGCAGUGAUUUUGGUUGUCCAAAAUCGGGCAACUAAACAGGCCCAAACACAAUGCUCCCCAAAACUGGUCAAAAGGCUCUCCAUAGAUGUGUGUACUGCGGCGAUGCUUCACUUAUUCCUGCUAUUUCCAUACUUCAGGAUGUGUACCAUCUCUAUCUCGGUUGGCCUUCCACAUUUUUUCAUACCAAAAGCUAAUGCAUAGCUACAUUUGGACAAACUACCGCUAUAUGUUAUGAUGUCUGAAUUUAAACUAUCAAAUAUAAUACCAGAGAUUACCCUUUGCCAUCCAUGAUCCAUUUGGACAACGGCAUUUUUUAAAAUUUCUUUUCACGACAGCCGCUACUUCCUUUUAAGACUUUCAGCAAAAAAUGUUAAUGUUUGAAAAUUCAAAUAUUGGAGCAAAAUCGACAAAUUUGAUGUGAGUCCAUUUGAAACCCCCUCCUUCCUCUUUCAAAAAGGUCGAAAACGACCCGUGCCCGCCCACCCGCCCGCUUCCCCAUCCAAACCCUCGGCGGCGGCGGCCGGCGACCAUGUCCCGCUGGAAGGAGAAUGCCUCCCCUCACCACCUCCACCCGCGCGGCGCUCCCAACUCCUCCCCACUCCUCCCCUGCAAGCGCCCACUGCAAUCGCCAUCCCCAUGCCCGCCUCCGCGCCGGCCGCUCGCGGACGUCACCGGCAACGCGCUGGAGCAGCGGGGCGGCGGGGAGACAAGCGGGUACGGGUACGCCACUCCCCUCCCGAAGGCGCCUAGGCCGUGCGGGUUCCUUCUGGCCGACGACGAUGACAUGGACGAGGCAUUCUUGCGGGAGGUGGACGCCAUCUGCGAGGAGCACGCGCGAUCCACGGCCAGGAAGGAGGAGAAGGAGAAGAAGCUGGUGGAGGAGGAUAAGGGGACGAGUGAAGGGCCGCUUGCCGCGGUGGCGGCGAUGAUUGACGACGCCGGAGCAGAGGUAGCAACGGUACGUCUUUGGUUUCAUGAUGCGCCUGGAAAUGGGGUUACGGAUCGUGGGGGUGCAUUUCAUUUACGAAUGCGGAGUUGUUUAGAUUUUAAGGGAAUGCGGAGAGCUGAGACAUUGGGGGGCAGUUGUUGUUUGAAUGUUUGUUGAAAUGGGGUUCGCUUUGGAAUGGGAAUAUCUGUAUGCUGUUAGUUUCAAUUUUUGAAAAUGAACUCACAUUAUUGCUCCCUAUUGUGGGUGGAAUUCAGCUGGAGGAUGCAUUCUGGGAGGAGGUGAAUGCCGUCUGUGAGGAGUUUGAUGCCCAUUCUGAUGCAAAGAGCCAGGAAGGGGUGAAGGAGGAGCCGGUGCAGCAGCAGCAACAGCAGGAGGAGGAGAAAGAGGAGGAGGAGGAGGAGAGCUUGGUGCUGUCCUGUGGUGAUGCUUCACUUCCUCCUGUUAUUUCCAUCACAGCGGAGGGUGGGGAGGUAUGAGAGUAUUUUUUGUUCAUAAGGCUUGUUUCUGGUUCCAUGGAUCAGUGUCAGUAGAGAAAAAUUGGGAAGUUUUUGUACAGUGCAUUGAAUUGUUUUAGAUUUGGGGAACAUCCUUUAAAUAUGAGAGUGCACUGGAGUAACUUCCUUAAAGUCUUGUUUCUUUAACUGAAACGGGAGUCAGGAAAAACCUGUGAAGCAUAACAAAAUUCAUGUUUAUUGAUAUAUGGCAGGGGAAGAUAGGGAAAUGAAUGUGGAGAAUUUGGGAUCCAUUAUCUUUUGAAAUGCUACUCAGAUUUGGUUGAGGUGCUUGAUUUGUAAGAAAAUUUAUGUGUUCAAUUUCUUUUGAGAUGAAUUCAGUUUGAAGAUUCAUUCUGGAAGAUCAAUGCCAUUAGCGAGGAGCACAAGUGUCAGGAGGCUAUGAUGGAGAUGGAGGAAAAAGAUGACUUGAUAGCAUUAUGUGGUGAUGCUUCAGUUUCUCCAGUAAUUUCCAUUGCAAUGGGGCCCGAAGAGGUACAUAUUUUUUUCUUAACCUCAUAGAAUGAAAUGAUGAAUAGUUGUAGACUUGUAGGACAUCAGGCAGUUCUUGUUUCCUGUGUCUAGGACUGAGGAAGAGGAUCAGUAUAACUAGAAAUUGAAUUGAGUAGGUUUGGUUUGGAAUCAAGUUUCUAACUGAGUUCAUUUGAUUCAUUUUCUCUUCGGAUAUGUUUAGCUUGCUGAUGCAUUCUAUGGGGAGGUUGAUGCCACCAUCCAUGAGGGGCAUCCUGACAUUUCUGCUGCCAAGGGCAAUGAGGAGAUGCAAUAUAUGGAACUAGAAAUAGAGGGUGAUGAAGGGUGUGCUCCAAAAAAGUACUAUGAAUAUUUGCACUCCUUGAACGAUAGGCAGAGGGAGGCUGCAUGUAGUGAUGUGGCUGUUCCACUAAUGAUUGUUGCUGGUCCAGGAAGUGGAAAGGUAUACAUACUUGUCAUUUUAUCUUUCGUGUAUUCAGAGUGUAUUUAUUAUAUUUUCUUAGCAUUCAAUAUUAUAGAUAUAUGAAAUAUAGUUUAACUCUUGCCACCACUUGAUUACCCUAAUUUCAAUAUAUAUUCUUUGAUUAUAAAGUUCAACUGUGUCCAAUUGUUUCAGUUGCUUUGCUCUGUCGAGGUAAAUUUUAUGCAUGGUUUGACAUGUUUACAGAAUCAUUUUAACAGAUCAAGAGUAAUACACAACACAAAUGUAAAAAAAAAAUCCAUACCUUUUGUUCAUGUAGCUGCUACAAGUAAAUAAGCAAAGUAAACACUGAUUUGAAAUGUUACCAAAACCCAGAUUGUGUGAUUCACUGUGACAAAAUUAUACCAAAUAAGUACUAAACUACAUCGCCUGGGCUUUAUUCUUCCAAACGAUAAAAUGAUUGUAGAUGAACUGACAACCAUGGUUUUUUUUGUCUGCAUCUUCUUUUGAUCUCUCUAAAAUGGUUGCAUGUGUUGUGUCUGUGGGUGAUUCACAUAUAUUAUUAUGUUUUGGAUUUUGCAAAAUGCGCCAUUUAAGUUUAACUGAACUGUAUUGAACCUGUUGGAACUCCUACAAUCUUGUGACUAGUUCCAUGCUUUGGUAUAUACUAACCCCCCUGUAACUGGCAUGACCCAAAGACUUCCACAAUGGUUGGUAGGGUGCUCACACUGCUCAAAGAGGUAUGGUUAUUGUCUGAUAUAAUCACUAUAUAAGUAAUAUGUAAUGACAUUCUAAACUCACAUAACCGUAAAUCUCCUUCUCAUGACUAGGGAAUUCCACCAUCAAACAUUCUCGCUAUGACAUUCACCACAGCUGCUGCCUCAGAAAUGAGGGAUCGGAUAGGGAAAGUGGUGGGAAAGGCAGUUGCCAAGGAGAUUGCAAUAAGCACAUUUCACUCAUUCUGCUUGCAGCUUUGCAGGACACAUGCUGAAAAGUAUGUCUUUUCUGGUUGUAGUAUACUUUAUAGUACAACAGAUUUCUGUACGCUUCUGCUCAACCAACUGAAUUACCUCAUAUUAUUAAUGAAAUCACUGAUGUACAAAACUUGCGUUGGAUAAAUAUGAAAGUUACCGGAUGGAAUGGAGCUUGCACAAAAAAAAAACUGCAAACAAUGUAAACUAUUCUUAUCAAGAUUAACUUAGAUUGGUUUUCAAUUGGGAUGAUAAUCAAUCAAAAGUUCGAGAUACAAAGAUGAUCAUGAUCAGUUUGAAGAUUUAUCAAACUGCUUAUAGUAGAUAACUGUGCACUCCAAUGUCUCAGUAUAUAACACUAUCUAAUGUCACGAUCUUGUUUCUUCUUUAUGCUCUCUUUUUAAUACCUUGCUCUUCCUUACAGUUUAUCAAGCUUACUCACUUUGCAGCUACUUGAACACUUGGAUUAUGUACACAUUAUUUAAUAUUUUUCAUUUUUUCCUUUAUGGCCAUUUGAAGGCUAGGCCGCACAUCUGAAUUCAUAAUCUAUGGACAUGGACAACAACGAAGAGCCGUUAUCGAAGCGGAGCGUUUAUUGGAAAAUGACAAAAGAAGUGGUGCUGAAGAAUCAACUAAACAGUAUGAAGGGGACAUAAAAGGUUCUUUCAAGGACAAAGCUAAGAAGUGGCAGAAGUUUAUUGCACAGGUGCCUUCUACUUUUGAUGAUUUCAUCAGAAAUAUUUGUUUCCAAUGCUCUCUUUGCACUGUUACAUAGGAGUUUAUCAAAGGGACUAGGCAGUCACACUCACAUUUUCUUACUGUUAUACCUUUUUUUAAAGUUGCGCAGUAAGGUUCUGUCGGCUAAUUUCCACCUUGCUGCCACAAAUGCACAGCCAAAAAUAUUAAAGGAACUUUAGUGUGCUUCCAAGAUAUUGUUCUGGAGGCAUAGAAAGCCAAAUGCAGUAAUGGAUCACUCCAAGUUUCUCAGAAACAGUAAAAGAAACUGUAGUUAGGAUGACAUCCUUAAUUGUGGACCAUAUUUAGCUAUAUCCUGAACAUAAGCUGUUCACUUCAUGUGCUUGAAUUAUAGUCAUGGUGUGGAGCUUCAUAUUGUGCACUAUUCAUCGUGGAACAUAUUGGUCUAUGCUGUUGGGCUUGCUAUUAGAAUGUCUACCACACUGGAGCCUUGUGGAUCAAACCAAUCAAUGUGGUCUGUCUGGAAGCAGUUGUCUCUAGGGGUUUUCAGGAAAAAUAAAUUUGACAUCCACAAUGUGGCCUGUUUUGUUGCCAUUUUAACCUUUAUGGUAGUUGCAUUUUGUUUUUAUCGUAUCUUUCCACCUUUCUUUAAAGGCAAAAGCUUCAGGAAGAACUCCAGAGGAGUAUGAAAAGAAGGGUGACUUGACAGGAGUAAGCUCUCCUACUUUGUGUAAUUCAUUUUUUCAUACUUCAUUUUGAUGACCAAAUUGACGUUUGCCUGCAUUUUUUUUUGUGUAGGCUUCUGUUCUUCGGCAUUACAAUGAAAUAUUAAUAUCUUGUAAUGCUCUUGAUUACCAUGAUUUUAUAAACUCAUCCAUAACUCUUCUCACGAAGUUUCCUGAAGGUAGUUUGAUAGUUUCAGUUCAAAUGUCAGAACAUCAUUUACUUUGAUGACUUGUUGAUUAAAAGGGUGUGUUCCUUGCCUGUGCAGUAUACAAAGAGUGCCAGGAUAUGUGGCAGGCAGUAGUAGUUGAUGAGUUUCAGGAUACCAGUGCUAUGCAAUACUGUCUUCUGAAGAUUCUAGCUUCCCACAAUCACAUAACUAUUGUUGGUGAUGAGGAUCAGGUACACAAAUUUGAUAUACAUCUAACAUCCUAUAACUUUUGGUUUCUGAAUUACUUUGUCUUGUCUUAUGUUAGUCCAUCUUCAGUUUCAAUGGUGCUGAUGUAUCUGGCUUCGAUUCAUUUCGUAGAGAUUUCCCAAAUCACAAAGAGGUAACAGGGUUGUGCCAUUUUCUGCAUGGGAACUUUCAAGUUAUCUUAGUCCUGUUUUUUUCUAUUAAGUAGCUUGAUAUGCCAAUGACUGCAGAUCAGGUUGAGCAAGAACUACCGCUCCACACGUGCAAUUGUUGAAGCAGCAACCGCUCUAAUUCACAACAACACUAAACGGCAUCAUCAUAAGCUUGUUGAGACUGAUAACCCUUCUGGUUGUAAGGUAUCCUUAUUUGUUACCAUUUGUUAUUGCAUCACCUUUUUUAUUUACUUAUAUAAUCUUUAACUUUGCAUAGAUCACUGUGAAGGAGUGCCACAGUGAAGAUUCUCAAUGUGCAUUUGUUAUUGACAAAAUUAUUGAAACUACGUCUACUUCAGCUGACAGCUGUAACUUUGGCAACAUUGCUGUCCUGUACCGAAGACAGGUUGAAAGUUUUUUGUAAUCUAUUUUGAUUUUGGAGUAUAUUUUGGUUAUGCUUGCGAGUUGCGACCUAAUUUUCUCCUACAUAGAUAACUGGAAAAGCGUUCCAAGUGGCAUUCCGCAACAGAAAAAUUCCCUUUAAUGUCCAUGGUGUUGCUUUCUACAGAAAGAAGGUAUCUGAAUUUAGUUUACUUCGGACAUUCAUUGCAGAGUAGAAAUUUCUCAUGGUUUUCUGUCUUUCCUUCAUAGCUAUCAAUUUUAUAGUCCUUGGUGCCAGUAACAUUUUCAAAAGCUUGCAAAUUUCAUAUGCUUUCCGAAUUAGCGACCUUUAUUUAUCUUGUAAGGAAUGCAAAGAACUUCCUCGAACAAUUUACAUGUUCAUAUGUUAUUUUUAGUUCUUGACACAAAAUACUGAUACAUUAUAUCUAUAUACUUGUAUUGACUGGAUUGCUGUAAGAAAUAGUCACAUAGCUAUUGUUUCUCUAUUGUUCCAGAAUUUAUUGCAUAUUAUUUUUUUUGUUUGCCUUACCGUUUGUCUUGAAAAGAUGGCUGGCCUGAGCUUGGCAUUUUUUUCAUUAACAAAUCCUAAGCUUAUCUCAUCUUUUCAUUUUAAUAUAUGGGUAGGGAAGCAACAGUACUUGUUAUUUCACUAUUAUUUAAUAAUUACGUAACAAACCUGUGAAUCCAAAGACGGCAAUAAUCCUCUGCAUACUAUCAAUUAUGUGACAAUGUUGGUGCUUUGCCAUGCAAUUAUUCUAGGUGAUCAAAGCUAUCAUGGCAAUACUUCGAACCACAUUACCUGGCUGUGACGAUGGCCCAUGGCGUCAAGCCUUCAAGGCCCUUUUACCUAGUGACAAAGAAGAAAAGAAGAAGGUUCAACUUUUACCCAAUUUAAUUCUUCUAAUUUUGUACCCUUUGGUGUGUCAAUCUGCAUAAAUUUGAUAAAUUUUCGGUGCUUUCUAACUUUCAGAUUAUAGAUCAUGUUGAAAAGAUUUCACUGGCUAGAAAGUGUAGUUUUAUAUCCGCUGCUACUGACAUCUUCAGUGCAAAGGUCUCUGGUACCUUCAAAAGGUUGUUCUCUUUUCCUUGUUUACUUACUGUUCUCAAACAUCAUAAUUUCACUGCCAAUUGUGUUAUUUUUCUAUCUGAUGAUCCUUAUACACACUUUUUUAUUUUUCUCUCUUUCUGCUCAAGGAGUGACAAAUGGUUGCUAGCUGCUUGACAGCAAUCGUGAGAUGCAUGCAUUACAAGAAUCGAACUUGCACAUCUAGCAUAUAGUUUUUUUUUUUUUGGGGGGGGGGAGCCAUUAUAUUCAUUUUUCUUUUAAUUAAAAUUAAUUGUUCUUUGAAAUGAAACCUGUUAAUGAAAAAAGAACCAUGUAUGCAUGCUCUCAUUAUUAUACGGGGAUGAUUAUUGUGUAUGCUGAUAUGCAUGUUGCGUGUGCUUUGAGCAGCCCAACUGCUGAACUGCCUCCCAUUUGAGUACAACCAUUGACCAAUUCCCAUUUUGAUGCUAGUCUUACCACCUUUCUUCUUUACGAGCUAUUGUUAUUGAUGUUAUUUCCAUGCUCAAGGAUUGAGUGCAGUACGACUUUAUUAUGAUUGUCUCAUUUUGUUGACUGUAGGGCCCAGAUUACUCAAGGACGUAAGGUUUUAUCGACCUUGGAUAGCCUAUCAAAACUUGUUGAGAGGGUAUGGGGCAUUUGUACCUACAGUGUUACUAAAUCCACACAUAUUAAGUAAAAGGAAAAAUGAUUCAUAAAGAAAAUAAACAUCUAUAAAAAUUAGAAAGUAGACUUAGAUCACAAAUUUGAGUUCUUGAGAAAAAAAAAUCUUAUUCUGUUUGAUCCGAAAUAUAUGUCCAUUUAGCCUUCUUCCGAAUGCAGCAAAUAUUAGUCCAUAACGACUCCAAUGCAACAUUUUGUUUCAAUCUUUCAUGUGUGCCCCAUCCUUUAAUGCACCCUAAUAAUUGCAGUAAACUUGCCAGCUAUCUUAACUCUAGCAAUAAUUGAUGGGCAAUAGGGUUACUGUACCUCUUUACCUUAAUUCUUGUGCCCAAGACCCAAGUCCAAAUGGACUUGUAUUUGGGAUCGGAGGGCGUACAAAAGUUGAGCAAUUAUCAAUGGUUAUAGUAGUACUUUAUUUCCCUAAAAUAUGCUUGUAUUGUUUAAAAGGUUCAUAUUAUCUUUUUGUUAGUUCUUCAGGAGCUAUAAUUUUUUUUAAAAAUUUGAAUGUUACAGGAACAAUCAGUUUCAGUCAUCAUUUCCUCUGCAGGAGACAUGCUACCUCAGGUACAGCUAACUUGUUGCAAUGUAUUCAAUGAUCUGCACCUUUAGUGUAGUGUUUUCUCACUUUCAUUUAUGAUCUGUGAAUUGUUGGGACAGAAAUAAAUGCCUUUAAAGGAAAAGUUCUUUUUUAAAACAGUAAAUAGCUUAUCCCUGUUAGUUUAUAUGUGCAGUUAGUUCACGACUUCAUGAUGUAAUAAUUUAAUUCAUGUAAUGAAAUCAUGAGAUCAUUCUGCGGUACAACAAUAGAAGUUCAGUGAAGCAGGGUUUAGAUGGCAAUUUGGGCAUGGCUUUCCACCCAUUCCUGUCAUCAUUGGGUAAUGCCUUUUUGCCCAUGAGACCAAGGUCCUGUUUGUUUUGGUGUUGCGGUCGCGGUGCGGCAGCCAACCGUGAGAAUCCCGCAGAACGGGCCGCGGCGGCCGCGCGUUACCGCGCCGCGAUGCCCCUUCCCCCACUGCGACAUGCCUAGGAUCGCACCGCGCUUAGCCCCCCGCGGUAUGAGUAAUCUUCCUGAUUUUUCCCCUGAUACCCUCGCUCUCCCUCCCGUUCCUCCCUCUCUGGCGCUAGGGUUCGCAUGGGUGAUUAUUUGUUGAACUAAUUGGUACUUCAAUGAUUUGGGAUGACUUGGCUAGUUCAAUGACUUGGAAUGUAGUUCAAUGACUUGGAAUGUAGUUCGAUGACUUGGAAUGUAGUUCAAUGACUUGGAAUGUAUUAGUAAUUAUUUUAUUAAAAUUUGUGUUUCACAAACUUCAAAAAUAUUGUCAAAAUCAUGCACUCAUGAAUCAAAUGAGCUAUCAUCAGUCAUAGGGGUCUACAGGUCAUUUUACACUCAAACAGAUAAUCAGCUACAAAUAAUCAGGGUUGCCAAACUCCCUGCUUAUCCAGCUAGUCAUGCACUCAUGAAUCAAAUGAGCUACAUCAGUCAUAGGGGUAUACAGGUCAUUUUACACUCAGAACAUAUAAUCAGCUACAAUUAAUCAGGGUUGCCAAACUCCCAGCUUAUCCAGCUAGCAGAUUCUCUCUACAGCAGAUUCUCAGACAAUCGAUUCUCAGAUAAGCUCAAACAAACAGGGCCCAAAUAAAAUGAAAAAGAAUGCAUGCCUUGGUGAACUAACAAACAAGAGAACAAGUUGUUGGACUACAUUUGCAUGGGCAGAACUUUAGUCCUAGACUCCUGGUAGUGUGCCUGUGGACUAAAAACCAAGAUUGGAACCCAUCAAGAUUUCCUGGUCAUCCCUAGGCAGGAUGGACCCUAUCAUAAAACGCUAAACGAUUGGAGGAAUCAAUCAUCUAGCAAAGCACCAUGCACGUUUACUAGCUUGUCAUUCUAAACCAUAUCACCAUAAUGUUGGAUUCGGUCAUUGUGACAUUAUUGUUUACCAUGCAUAGUUUGAAACUUGGUCUACAAUCAAUCAUGCCAGGCACCUAGUGUAAAUUAUUUAUGCUGUACAAAAUACAAAGUUAUGCAAUAGACCUACAUAUUAUUUUUGGGUUGACAAUAAACUUGUCAUGAAUAUCCUUGUACCAAUGGGGACAUCUGUGUAGCCUAUUCAUGGAUAGAAUGUUGUUGGUAAUUGAGGUCAUGAAUCAUGAAUUUGAGUUCCCUCUCCUUGGCAACAAAGCUGUUCAGAACUUCCUCCUAUGUGGGGUGCAUCUCCCAUGAAAAUGGCCAAUUGUUGGAGAUUUUAAAAUUUCACUGCAAACAUUGUUUCUACCUGUUGCAAACAUUGUUUCGGAAUAUUGUGCAGUCUGAAUAUCAGGAGAUGCUCAACAUUGCUUGUCUUCUUGUCCUACCAAACCUUGAGGCAGUUUUAGCUUACCACUGCUAAUCUUUGUUAAAUAUUUGCAUCUGUUUUUUUAUCCAAUCUCUGCUAAAUUUUUUAUUCCAUUUCUUUGGCAGAAAUAUCUCCUUGAAAAACGUGCAGUUGUUGAUGUUGACAAUGGCAAAUUGUUAAAUGAAGAUAGUGAUAUCAGAUCAGUAAGUUCAAACCCUAUUGUGCACUUAUUUUAUACAUUUAUGUUUCAGAAAAUAUUAGGUUGGAGAAAUUAUUUUAAAUCAUUCUGGAUGUGGCAUACACAAGAAGUGACAUCAGCUUUUGUUGGAUCAGUGCAGGUUCUUCAGUUUUUAAUGGAUGAUGUGUCUGACUUCUUGUCAACACAUUUUUCUAGUACAAUGGAGAGUAGCAAGACCGAGGAGAAAGGCUGUGCUUCUACACUUCAAGCUUUUAUUGAUUAUAUAUCUUUGAGGGAAACUGAAAAUUUUCGAUCUCGAAAGGAGGAAAAUAAGAAUUCGAUCACAUUAACAACUAUUCAUCAGGUUAUUGAUCUCUUGAUAUCAAUUAGUAUUGUUUUGCUGUGUCAUUAGGUAAUCCUGUGAUGCUACGAUAAAUGAUGAUAUUUCCUUUUCAAUUUGCAGUCAAAAGGUUUGGAGUGGGAUGUUGUGUUCAUUGUGCAGGUAUUUUCUUCACUCUUUAGGAGGAGCUUACAUAAAAAUACCAAUACUUUGUCACAUAUGUAGUAUUAGACAGGCAGGCAAGGCAGCCACCUAGACGGUCUACGGGUCUAGUGGUGAUUAUGUGCGAAGGCUGCCUCCAAUGGUUGAGCUAGUGCAUUAGCUCUUAGCUUGUCCAUCUCAUACAAGAGAUAGCAAAAAGAUUACACCUCCAAUGGUUUGUCUAAUAGCACAUUGUUCAAAGCAUCUUGGGUUUACAAUCUCUCUCAUCAACAAAGCGUGGAGCCUACUUUUUUUCUGAGCUAGCUCUUGAAGAAGAGAUAGUACACCUUCUCUCCUCAUCUUCUCUCUUUCAAGUAAGCAAAAUGAUGAGUUGGAUUCCUAUGAGCUAGCUGGGGUGUUAUUGUUGGAGGAGGCCUAAGCUGGAGUCUAGAUGGGCUUGGCAGAGUUUUUUUUCCAAACAGUGUGUGGCAAAGUAAUCACAUGUACAGGGAAAAUGUACCAACAGAACUGAUAGAAUGCUAACAAUUUUUCCCCAUAAUUUGGUGACACACAGCAAAGUAUUGAAGGUCAAUGAUGAGUUCAAAUAACAAUGCACUAAUUUAUGGCUUUAUCAUAAUAAAUGUCUGUUUCAUGUAUACUGAUAGUAUCAGCAACUAUGCUAAUUUAUCUUAAUGCAAUGAUGCGCAGCUCUCCUACAUACUUGAGAGAAAAAAACUAUGUGAAUUUGUCAAGAAGGUAUUUUUGAUGUUAAAUCCUUCUUCAUACAGGCAAAUGAUUCGGAAAUUCCUUUGUUGCAUGAGUACAAUGGCACUGUGAAAGAAGCUGGAAGCACACUAGAGGUUUGUUCAAAAAAUAAUCACAUGUAUGUCCUUAAUGUACAUACUUGGUGAAUUGUUCAAAAUUUUCAGGAGGAGAGAAGGCUAUUCUACGUUGCGAUGACACGAGCUCGGAAAAAGUUGUACAUUUUGCAUGUUACAGUUGACUCUAAUCGUCAGGCAGGUUAUUGUGUAUUGAUGCUUAUGUUUAAGCAAUAUCAUUUUUCUGACUUACUCUAUUUGUUUACAGCUUCUGCAACCUUCACGUUUCCUCAGGGAAAUUCCUGUUCACCUUCUAGAGGUGCAGGUGAGCAAUACAUUGGGAUCUAGUUUUACUAUGUCUACUCCUUUCCUAUAUGAGUAACAUAUUUCCUUAUUUUAUUGAUGGCUAAGGUAAGAAUGCAAGUGGGUCGACCAAAAACCCAUGCCACUCAAUUUCCACCUAAUUAUUUGUACAUAUAAUUGGUAACUAAAAUAACUAGGAUGAGUCAAUAGGGAUAUUUCACUCACUUUCAUCCCUAGCCAAAGGACUUUCCUGAGUUCAAAUUAUCCUCUGUUCCUUACUGUUAAAAAUCCCCAUACAAGCCUAUUUGUUUACUUCUUUCAUCAUCAGUCAUACUCAUGUUGUAUCUUAUAUGUACAUAAUUCUUCACAGUUUUUUCUUUUGUUAACUUGCAGGGCGAGGAGACUCUCAGAAAAAUUCCAGAACAGCCUUCAGGGAAUGUUCCUUUUGAUGGUCCGGAAGGGGAUACAUCAAUUGGAAAGCCUAUUAUGGAACAGAACGAAACUUCGCCUUGUCCAGAACUGGCUCAGUCAUGCCUUGCUAAUGAUUUCUUGAGAAGGUAAAUCAUCUUUAUGUUAUCUGAUAUUUCAUUUUUAACUUUGCCUGUGGGUAGUUGGAGUUUUCUAGUGCCUAAAGAAGUUAUUUCUCCUUUGCACAAUCAUUUCAGUUCCUGAAUAACAGAUUCAUCACAUUCAUGCAGAGCUAGCUUUGCUACAUUACUUUACAUUUGUUCCCUCGCUUCACUUGAUUCAUUAAUCUGUUUAUAGGUUUGACAUUGAUGAUAGAUCGGUAGUCUCACAUAUAUUUCAUCAUUGGGGCAAGAAGCAGGCAUUUCAAAAUCCAAAUAGAUUGCUUGAUAAGGUACUGUAUUCUUCAUUGUACAUGAACAUCUGGGGGAGAACUGAAUGAGGUUAGGCUGUUAGCUAUCAGCAGGCUAGGAUUCUGUGAUGCCUUCCAUUGUUGCAGUUUUGCGAUUGCAAGAUUUUUUUAUUGCAAUUGCAAGUUUGUGACAUUGAAACUCUGAAGCUUUGCGAUUGCCAGUGCCCCCUAUAUGGCUAUUUCAUGUUGGAUGUAUGCUUGACUUUUCAGAUCAGUUUUGUGAUUGAUGAACGCCUACGGGGUAAAGGGUACAAGCGCAAGGUGACUUCUUGUCCUCUUUCCCAUCUCAAAACAUCACCUGACUUAUUAAUUCUCCUAUCAAUUAAUCUGUUCUUUGUCGUUGUUUGUUGUGUUCUUGCUGGCACUGUUGUUUGUAAUCUUCUGUAAUAGUAAAAGAUCACGUAGCUAAUUAAUGUGUACAUUUUGUUUACACAAAAGUUCCCUCUUGCAUUCGAGAGCUUAACCUGGGGAAAAAAAACUGAUGAGUUCUUAUCCAGGAUGUCUUGCGAAAGCUGAAGUCAUUCCUAAGUGGUGAUGAAGCAUUUGGUUACGCACAAUAUGUGAGUUUAGUUAUUAUUCUCAGUAUUACACCUUGACAAUCCUGUUUGUUUUCCUUAUAAUAAAUAAAAUAAAUAAUGCAAUAAUGUGAAAUUCAGGUUAUCAAGUGGGAACAGAUUCCUAUUGAGAAGCGUAGCCAAUUAACGAGAGAAAGACAGGCAAGAUUUUGGGCCAUCACAAAUAUCUUGCAUUCUUAAUAUUAAGGAGGCACCUUUGCUACGAAAGUGGAGUCGUUUAUCUGUUCUUCGGGAGACCUUUUUGUGACUUAUGUCAGUUUGUGUUUUUGUUUCAGGAACAUUUCCAAAAGCAGAGGAUAGAGAAUUCCAUGGGUUCGUCGGAACCCACAGCCAAGCAGGUCAGCUAACUCUCUGUUCAUCUGUCCGUCAGUGCUCUUCAUGCUGCCUGUUCAUUUUCAAGCUCUCUCCGGAACCUGGGCAUUUUGAAGCUCUCCCUCCAUCCCUCUCUCUUAUCAGACGAAACUGAACUCUUGGUCCCUGUGCAUCCAAAUGCAGAUAUCCUACCUCCGGAACCUGGGGUGCACCAUCACUCCGACCUCACGUUUACACGCAUCCCAUCUCAUCGAAAAGUACAAAUCUCUUUGACUUGAUGCUGCAGAGCAGAUGUGCCCAACCGCUCAUAUUUGUGCAAAUCCUUGGGAUCAUGGACUGUGGACUGUGGUUGACGGAAUUCAUGUUAGAACUGUAUAACCAUAUACCUUGUGUACAUGCUGUAAAUAUUAUGAAUGUAGUAUGUAUGAACUCUUUUGUAACCUGGAGACAUCAGGGUUUUAUUGUAUGACACAGCUCCGUUCAGAGUUAGACAUUGUGAAAUCACGAUGAAAAAAGUUAGACAAGUGAUUAAACAAACGGGAAAGUGUUUUAUUAUCCAUUAUAGUAUUGAUCUGGAGCAUUGCACAGAAGAAUUACAUUGAAAUCUUGAACUGAAACACCAACUAAAUCUUAAAGAACUAGUACACAUUAACCGAGACCCGGUUUGGCACAGUUUUUUUUUUUUGCGAAACAGGGUAGAUUAUAUUAAUGAAGCACGGUACAUCUAGUACAUCCCCCUUUUACAUAAAGGACCCUUAAAGAAGAAGAAAUUACAUAGACGUCCUCAUCCUCUUCUCCGAUGAACUGCUCCGCCUGGGAACCAGACCGGAGCCAAAUCCACCCAUCACCAUCGCCGGAGACUCCAAACUUUUGGUAAGCCGCAAGAUCCAGCGCCUCAGACCCGCUGGGACGCAUCUUCAUCCACUGAACGAACGUCGGCGAACUUCGCACCAUGGACGAUGGAGGAACCGCACCCGACGCCAACACGCCGGAGCAGGAGUCCAGGACGGCCGACGACGAGGCCGCCAGCCAACCAGACAAAGACCCCAACAAGGGGACAGACCACAACUCUACCCCGUACGCUAAAAGGUAGAGGUCAACUAACCUCGCUCCCUGCUCACCGGGGAUGACGCCGCCGCCGCCGCCGAAGAGGCACAGGAGAAAGAUGACCAUAGACGACGAUCCGCACGCCAUCGCCGGUAAAUACGAGCUAGUAGACCUACAUCUACAGCUAUACAGGGCCCUCCCGCUAAGGUGCCGGGCUCCCCUACCCGCUCCGCCGCCCAGAGGGCCGCCGGAGGGGAGGAGGCCCGGCGGAUCGACGGGGGGAAGACGAAGCCGCCUUCGAAAUCGCCUGUGGCUACUGUAGCUUGGGGAAAACUCGCGAGGUACAGGGCUAUAUAUCGGUUUGGCACAGCUUUUGAAUUGGCUUAUCUAUAGAAAGUAUCAAAUUUUAAAAAAAAUGAAGCUACCAUUGAAAAAAUUAAUCUUAUGCUUUAUAAUUUUAUGUUUGUUUUUUGACAAAAGGAUG
RNAcentral lists this long non-coding RNA (42753 nucleotides) under Setaria viridis. Its description in RNAcentral is "long non-coding RNA (SVIR_LNC002376)". Lineage: Eukaryota; Viridiplantae; Streptophyta; Magnoliopsida; Poales; Poaceae. The record is from RNAcentral.